CAAGAUAGCUCAGUAGGUAGAGCACUUCCUUGGUAAGGAAGAGGUCGACGGUUCGAUUCCGUUUCUUG
Molecule: transfer RNA, 68 nt
Filed under: bovine gut metagenome
Rfam family: tRNA
About the family: Transfer RNA (tRNA) molecules are approximately 80 nucleotides in length.
Source: RNAcentral